GACGAACGCUGGCGGCGUGCUUAACACAUGCAAGUCGAACGGAAAGGCCCUGCUUUUGUGGGGUGCUCGAGUGGCGAACGGGUGAGUAACACGUGAGUAACCUGCCCUUGACUUUGGGAUAACUUCAGGAAACUGGGGCUAAUACCGGAUAGGAGCUCCUGCUGCAUGGUGGGGGUUGGAAAGUUUCGGCGGUGGGGGAUGGACUCGCGGCUUAUCAGCUUGUUGGUGGGGUAGUGGCUUACCAAGGCUUUGACGGGUAGCCCGCCUGAGAGGGUGACCGGCGACAUGGGGACUGCGAUACGGCCCAGACUCCUACGGGAGGCAGCAGUGGGGAAUAUUGCACAAUGGGCGGAAGCCUGAUGCAGAAACGCCGCGUGCGGGAUGACGGCCUUCGGGUUGUAAACCGCUUUCGACUGUGACGAAGCGUGAGUGACGGUAAUGGGUAAAGAAGCACCGGCUAACUACGUG
RNAcentral lists this ribosomal RNA (468 nucleotides) under uncultured bacterium. RNAcentral describes it as "partial 16S ribosomal RNA". It matches the Rfam family "Bacterial small subunit ribosomal RNA", at positions 28 to 507 of the family's 1533-position model. The record is from RNAcentral.